RNAcentral lists this long non-coding RNA (224 nucleotides) under Gallus gallus (chicken). The record is from RNAcentral. Lineage: Eukaryota; Metazoa; Chordata; Aves; Galliformes; Phasianidae.
GUCCAGGGGCAGCUGAUCCUCGGGGCACUUGAAGACGCCUUCGCUGAGGAACUCCUGCAGGCAGGUGUCACAGAAGCGGUGUCCGCAGGUGGAGACCCGCACGGGCUCCCGCAUGGGCUUCCCGCACAGCGGGCACAGCACUCUCCGCCGCGGCCGCUCCAGCAGUUUGUAGUCGUAGCCCGGCAUCGCGCACCGCUCCCGGCCCCGCGCCGCGCACCGCUCCG